Heteronotia binoei (common prickly gecko) is the source of this 1230-nucleotide long non-coding RNA. RefSeq lists it as uncharacterized. The transcript is spliced from 2 exons. The record is from RefSeq and is a predicted model, not a curated record. NCBI's taxonomy places the organism in Eukaryota, Metazoa, Chordata, Lepidosauria, Squamata, Gekkonidae.
GCUGUUUUUCCUUGCCAGAAGAGGAGUGACAUAGCUUGCUUGUAGGCAUGUGUCAGAAUGCUUGAGGUACGCAGUUUGUACAUAAGAUUUUUUUAACCUACUGACCCAUUUAAAAUCUGGCUCUGAGCUCCCCAGAGGAUCCCUCCACCUUUGCUGUAGAUAUGAGGUCAGACUCUCUUCACAAUUGACUCUCACCUCUGUUGAAGUUGUGCAUACCAGUUGGAGCAAAGAACACAUGUAAAAUGUUCUGAUGACAAGUGUUCAGUCCAGGAGUGGAGGUACUCUUUGGCGAUAAACUCUUAACACAGGAAAGCAGCCCUUUGCCAUUGGAUGUUCACUUGCAUUCCAAAGCAUCUCAAUAUGAAUGACAGACCAGCACAAAAAAUAAAAGCUUUUUCUUUUUUCUUGUCAGUGGCCUUGACCUAAAACAUUAAGUCAUUAACCACCAGGAGGAAGCAGCAUGGGGGAGCAAGUCCCUGCAGAAAAUAUAUACUCAAAGGUUUUGUGUCUUCGCAUGGUGCAUGUUGCAUAUAAAGCUUCUCACUCAACAUUUCUUAACAGGCCUGGACAGAGGACAGCAAAUAUGCUGGGGCUUCACCUUUUGCGGCGCUAGAUCCUUUGUCCUUCAUGCUUUGAGGAGGCCACGUAUUAGCCAGUAUUUAGCUUCUGCCCAUUGUUUGGUCUCUCUCUCUCUCUACACCGUAGUAGUGCUGGGCUGCUUUAAGUAUUGAGAAUUCAUCUUUGGCAACAUCCAAAACAUUCCUGUCUGGUUAUUAUUUUAUUGUGGCUGUGAUUAGUCAUCAGUACAUAUUUGAUAGCAGAGAAUUGCCUUGUGUUAUUGUUUGGCAUCUUUCCAAAUAAAUCAUCUUGCCAAUCCAAACUAUACUGUACUUUUUGUUUUGGCCUCUUCACAACAACUUUUGAUGUAACAAACUUGACUGUUUUUAGACAGUAGGGGUAAUUUUUUCCCAUGAGUUUUGUGAAUGACUUUGACUACACAGUCUCAUGUUACAUACCAAGUUGGGUUUUUACUUUGAGAUGUGUAAUUCUUUCCUUGAGAUUUUUAUGAAUUUUUUUGGGUUUUUUUCUAACAUUGCUUUAUUAAACGUUGAAAUAUUUAAGAAUAUGUUAAUAUUUGGACCAGAUGUUGUGAAUAAUAGUAGAUAAAAGCUAUUUUAUUCUGUAUUUUUAAAAGCUGUUCAGUAUAAAUAAAAGCUGACAUAGAUGCAA